Molecule: long non-coding RNA, 200 nt
Filed under: Elaeis guineensis (African oil palm)
Lineage: Eukaryota; Viridiplantae; Streptophyta; Magnoliopsida; Arecales; Arecaceae
Description: long non-coding RNA (EGUI_LNC045491)
Source: RNAcentral
GAACCUAUUAUCACCCAACUUAAUGGGAGGCUAUGAUUUAGUUAUCACCAUAACUAUCUCAUUUAAGGGACUUAAUAAUUUAAAAAUUUUAAUUUAUGAAUUAAGAAGAGAGAAGAGAUCAAUCAGCAAAUCAAAAUUCUUCCACUGACUUCACUAAGUUAUUGAAUCGGAUUAGGGUCAUGCUGAUUGAAAUGGCACCU